This 1201-nucleotide long non-coding RNA is filed under the name Helianthus annuus (common sunflower). RNAcentral describes it as "hypothetical non coding rna". The record is from RNAcentral. Lineage: Eukaryota; Viridiplantae; Streptophyta; Magnoliopsida; Asterales; Asteraceae.
GUGGUCAUUUUCUUCUAUAUUCAUUACGGUUGAAAUUCAUGUUUUUUGUUAAAAGAUCUCAGAUGUUAUAAAAAACGGCUCCCCUUCUAUGACGGUAUUAUGUAAAGUAUAAUCUUGUAUUAAUAUAGAUUGUUUUGAAUGCAGAGUUUGCGACUACAUGGCUUGUUAGUUCUCCUGCAUUGUUUUUGGGCUUUGACGGGUGGUUCGUGGUUGGUACUGCACAUUCAGCCAAUGUGCUCCCCUAUUUGAGACGGAAGAGGUUUCCUUUCACAACAAAUUUUUACAUGCUAAAGGCUAGAGCACUGGUUGUUCCCGUUGGAUAUUACAUGCAUAUGCAGGCUAGGCACGAAAUUGAAACAGUGAUACCAAGAAUUCCUCAAAAGAUAGUGUUGUCAUAACUCACAACGGUUUGCUUUCACCGCCAAGUACUCCUUCUGCUGAACCUGAUUAUGAGAAUAAGAUUCUUUCAGAUGCAUUGCCUGAAAUUGUUCCUUAUGUCUUGAUUGAUCAUCGAGAGGAGCUUCUUCCUCUGAUGAUGUGUGCAAUUGAGCGUCACCCGAGUAGCAACACAAGGGAUUCCUUGACUCACACAUUGUUUAACUUGAUUAAGCGUCCAGAUGUUUUGGAAUCAAAUGGUGUAUGAAACCUGUUGUUGUAAACGAAUGGCGGUGACGAAGAAAGAAACAACAAGACAACAACAUCAGUAGAGUGACCGAGUGACUGGUUGUUGUCAUUGUGUUUAAUUUCAUCCGGUUCCUUUUAGAGUUAUAAUUUGCACAAUUCAGCUGUAGCCUAAAGGCCUUUUAAUUUGAGAUAUUUAUACAAGCUUUUGUAGCAGUUCAACAAGUCCAAUCUGUUAACUAGCCAGCUUCAACUGCCACAACUUAACCAACGGACCCUCAGGAUGGGCAUUGGCGCUUGAAACUGCUCCAAGCUCUAAUGGGAGUGUCACAUCUACAAGCAAAUUGGUAAGUUCCAUGAGUUUUCUAGCCAUCCUCAUUUUCCUCAUUUUGAUGGCUACAAAGAUACCCUGAUGGUCACCAAGCUGAAGAACAUCAAGCAAAUUCUCAACUCAUGUGUUUUCUAAAUUCUCCAUGUGUGUAAAUUUGUUUUUUUAUUUUUGGAAUACAUAAUUGUUACUCUAAGUCUAUAACAUCUUUAUCUAAAACCUGCUGAAGUUAUAUGUACUACGUAGUCUAUU